This 253-nucleotide ribosomal RNA is filed under the name uncultured bacterium. RNAcentral describes it as "partial 16S ribosomal RNA". It matches the Rfam family "Bacterial small subunit ribosomal RNA", at positions 524 to 776 of the family's 1533-position model. The record is from RNAcentral.
UACGUAGGGUGCGAGCGUUAAUCGGAAUUACUGGGCGUAAAGCGUGCGCAGGCGGUUUUGCAAGCCGGAUGUGAAAUCCCUCGGCUUAACCAAGGAAGUGCAUCCGAAACUGCAGUGCUUGAGUACUUAAGAGGAUCGCGGAAUUCCCGGUGUAGAGGUGAAAUUCGUAGAUAUCGGGAGGAACACCAGUGGCGAAGGCGGCGAUCUGGGAAGAUACUGACGCUGAGGUGCGAAAGCGUGGGGAGCAAACGGG